Molecule: ribosomal RNA, 619 nt
Filed under: Acinetobacter baumannii
Lineage: Bacteria; Pseudomonadati; Pseudomonadota; Gammaproteobacteria; Moraxellales; Moraxellaceae
Description: bacterial LSU rRNA
Rfam family: Bacterial large subunit ribosomal RNA
Source: RNAcentral
GUCGGAAAUCACGCGUAGAGUAUAAAGGCAAAAGCGCGCUUAACUGCGAGACCCACAAGUCGAGCAGGUACGAAAGUAGGUCUUAGUGAUCCGGUGGUUCUGUAUGGAAGGGCCAUCGCUCAACGGAUAAAAGGUACUCUGGGGAUAACAGGCUGAUACCGCCCAAGAGUUCAUAUCGACGGCGGUGUUUGGCACCUCGAUGUCGGCUCAUCUCAUCCUGGGGCUGAAGCAGGUCCCAAGGGUAUGGCUGUUCGCCAUUUAAAGAGGUACGCGAGCUGGGUUUAGAACGUCGUGAGACAGUUCGGUCCCUAUCUACCGUGGGCGCUGGAAAUUUGAGAGGAUCUGCUCCUAGUACGAGAGGACCAGAGUGGACGAACCUCUGGUGUACCGGUUGUGACGCCAGUCGCAUCGCCGGGUAGCUAUGUUCGGAAGGGAUAACCGCUGAAAGCAUCUAAGCGGGAAGCCUACCUCAAGAUAAGAUUUCCCUAGGACUUUAUGUCCUCUAAAGAGCCGUUCGAGACUAGGACGUUGAUAGGUUGGAUGUGGAAGCAUAGUGAUAUGUGAAGCUGACCAAUACUAAUUGCUCGUGAGGCUUGACUAUACAACACCCAAGCAGUUG